Molecule: long non-coding RNA, 463 nt
Filed under: Capsella grandiflora
Lineage: Eukaryota; Viridiplantae; Streptophyta; Magnoliopsida; Brassicales; Brassicaceae
Description: long non-coding RNA (CGRA_LNC000613)
Source: RNAcentral
UGAGAAUGAGUCUGAUGGGGUCCCAAGGUCGAAACUUCCUUCUCUAUUAAACAAAUAAAACUCUCUGUUAUACUCUACACUUCCUAUAAAAUCAAACUACACAAGUGUGAUCAUCAAGCUUACCUUGUCUGGAUGAGUUUCCCCUUGCAGAUGAACCACAUUUUACAGCUAUGAGGUGCAUGUUGAAGCACAUACUCUGCUUUUCUAGAUGUGAUACCCAUCCGCCUGCAUCAUCAAAGAGAGGUUAGCGUACUUGCUUUAUCCACUGAUCUUUCUAGUUUUCAUUACAUGGACUGAUUCAUUAGAAGAAUCUUUAAACUUUUAGUUAUUGAUUGAUUUUUGGAUCUAUCCUUGCCUGGAGUAGUGAGGAUCAGCUGCUGCUCCCAUAACGAGCUUCUUGAUGCUGUUUUCGUAGAUGAGUUCCACAAUACCUUCACCCACACCAUAUCCUGAGAUCAAUGAU